RNAcentral lists this ribosomal RNA (382 nucleotides) under uncultured marine Chaetocerotaceae. Its description in RNAcentral is "SSU rRNA". It matches the Rfam family "Eukaryotic small subunit ribosomal RNA", at positions 587 to 972 of the family's 1831-position model. The record is from RNAcentral. Lineage: Eukaryota; Bacillariophyta; Thalassiosirophyceae; Chaetocerotales; Chaetocerotaceae.
AGCUUCAGUAGCGUAUAUUAAAGUUGUUGCAGUUAAAAAGCUCGUAGUCGCAUUUCUGGCGAGAGGAUCCGGUCCGACCUUUUGGUGGGUUCUUGGGUCUCUUUCGCCAUCCUUGAGUGGUCCGUUCUGGCAUUAGGUUGUCGGAGCGUCAGCCGCUCAUCGUUUACUGUGAGAAAAUUAGAGUGUUCAAAGCAGGCUUAUGCCGUUGAAUAUAUUAGCAUGGAAUAAUAAGAUAGGACCUCGGUACUAUUUUGUUGGUUUGAGAACCAAGGUAAUGAUGAACAGGGACAGUUGGGGGUAUUUGUAUUUCGUUGUCAGAGGUGAAAUUCUUAGAUUUACGAAAGACAAACUACUGCGAAAGCAUUUACCAAGGAUGUUUUCA